UACGUAGGGCGCAAGCGUUGUUCGGAAUUACUGGGCGUAAAGGGCUCGUAGGCGGCCAACUAAGUCAGACGUGAAAUCCCUCGGCUUAACCGGGGAACUGCGUCUGAUACUGGAUGGCUUGAGUUUGGGAGAGGGAUGCGGAAUUCCAGGUGUAGCGGUGAAAUGCGCAGAUAUCAGGAGGAACACCGGUGGCGAAGGCGGCUCUCUGGGCCUUACCUGACGCUGAGGAGCGAAAGCUGGGGGAGCGAACAGG
This 253-nucleotide ribosomal RNA is filed under the name uncultured bacterium. RNAcentral describes it as "partial 16S ribosomal RNA". It matches the Rfam family "Bacterial small subunit ribosomal RNA", at positions 524 to 776 of the family's 1533-position model. The record is from RNAcentral.